This 252-nucleotide ribosomal RNA is filed under the name uncultured bacterium. Its description in RNAcentral is "partial 16S ribosomal RNA". It matches the Rfam family "Bacterial small subunit ribosomal RNA", at positions 30 to 289 of the family's 1533-position model. The record is from RNAcentral.
UUGAACGCUGGCGGCAUGCCUUACACACGCAAGUCGAACGGUAGAGGGGCAACCCUUGAGAGUGGCGAACGGGUGAGUAAUGCAUCGGAACGUGCCCAGUCGUGGGGGAUAACGCAGCGAAAGCUGUGCUAAUACCGCAUGUGAUCUGUGGAUGAAAGCAGGGGACCGCAAGGCCUUGUGCGAUUGGAGCGGCCGAUGUCAGAUUAGCUAGUUGGUAGGGUAAAAGCCUACCAAGGCGACGAUCUGUAGCUG